Molecule: ribosomal RNA, 511 nt
Filed under: uncultured Ignavibacteriales bacterium
Lineage: Bacteria; Pseudomonadati; Ignavibacteriota; Ignavibacteria; Ignavibacteriales
Description: bacterial SSU rRNA
Rfam family: Bacterial small subunit ribosomal RNA
Source: RNAcentral
GAGUUUGAUCAUGGCUCAGAACGAACGCUGGCGGCGGGCCUAACACAUGCAAGUCGCACGAGAAAGCCUUAGCUUGCUAGGGCGAGUAAAGUGGCGCACGGGUGCGUAACACGUAAGUAAUCUACCUUUAGAUUUGGAAUAACGUCGAGAAAUCGGCGCUAAUACCGAAUGAUGCAGCGGCACCGCAUGGUGAUGUUGUUAAAGUUUGUUAUGAAUGUCUAAAGAUGAGCUUGCGUCUGAUUAGCUAGUUGGUGAGAUAAAGGCCCACCAAGGCAACGAUCAGUAGCUGGUCUGAGAGGAUGAUCAGCCACACUGGAACUGAGACACGAUCCAGACUCCUACGGGAGGCAGCAGUGAGGAAUAUUGGGCAAUGCCCGCAAGGGUGACCCAGCAACGCCGCGUGAAGGAUGAAAGCCGUAAGGUUGUAAACUUCUGUUAGAGGGGAAGAAUAACUAUAAUUAAAAUUUAUAGCUUGACUGUACCCUCAGAGAAAGCCCCGGCUAACUACGUG